GACGAACGCUGGCGGCGUGCCUAACACAUGCAAGUCGAGCGAAUGAAGUUCCUUCGGGAAUGGAUUUAGCGGCGGACGGGUGAGUAACACGUGGGCAACCUGCCUCAUAGAGGGGAAUAGCCUCCCGAAAGGGAGAUUAAUACCGCAUAAGAUUGUAGUACCGCAUGAUACAGCAAUUAAAGGAGCAAUCCGCUAUGAGAUGGGCCCGCGGCGCAUUAGCUAGUUGGUGAGGUAAUGGCUCACCAAGGCGACGAUGCGUAGCCGACCUGAGAGGGUGAUCGGCCACAUUGGGACUGAGACACGGCCCAGACUCCUACGGGAGGCAGCAGUGGGGAAUAUUGCACAAUGGGGGAAACCCUGAUGCAGCAACGCCGCGUGAGUGAUGGCGGCCUUCGGGUUGUAAAGCUCUGUCUUCAGGGACGAUAAUGACGGUACCUGAGGAGGAAGCCACGGCUAACUACGUG
This 464-nucleotide ribosomal RNA is filed under the name uncultured bacterium. RNAcentral describes it as "partial 16S ribosomal RNA". It matches the Rfam family "Bacterial small subunit ribosomal RNA", at positions 28 to 507 of the family's 1533-position model. The record is from RNAcentral.